UGAAAGCAGGUACUUUGCUUGCAGGGAUUUCGAUCUCUGCACCAGUUUGUGGGUUACGUCCUUUACGAGCUGAACGCUCACGUACUUCAAAGUUACCAAAACCAAUAAGUUGGAUUUUGUCACCAUUUUUAAGUGCAUCUAAAAUUGU
Molecule: unclassified non-coding RNA, 148 nt
Filed under: Bacillus safensis
Lineage: Bacteria; Bacillati; Bacillota; Bacilli; Caryophanales; Bacillaceae
Description: sau-50
Source: RNAcentral